This 74-nucleotide transfer RNA is filed under the name Aspergillus aculeatus ATCC 16872. It matches the Rfam family "tRNA". Rfam says of the family: Transfer RNA (tRNA) molecules are approximately 80 nucleotides in length. The record is from Rfam by way of RNAcentral. RNAcentral also lists the same sequence under 9 other names. Lineage: Eukaryota; Fungi; Ascomycota; Eurotiomycetes; Eurotiales; Aspergillaceae.
GGCCGGUUGGUGUAGUUGGUUAUCACGUAUCCUUCACACGGAUAAGGUCCUGGGUUCGAGUCCCUGACCAGUCA